RNAcentral lists this ribosomal RNA (460 nucleotides) under uncultured bacterium. RNAcentral's name for it is "partial 16S ribosomal RNA". It matches the Rfam family "Bacterial small subunit ribosomal RNA", at positions 338 to 795 of the family's 1533-position model. The record is from RNAcentral.
CCUACGGGCGGCAGCAGUGAGGAAUAUUGGUCAAUGGACGAGAGUCUGAACCAGCAAAGUAGCGUGAAGGAUGACUGCCCUAUGGGUUGUAAACUUCUUUUAUAUGGGAAUAAAACGUUCCACGUGUGGGAUUUUGUAUGUACCAUAUGAAUAAGGAUCGGCUAACUCCGUGCCAGCAGCCGCGGUAAUACGGAGGAUCCGAGCGUUAUCCGGAUUUAUUGGGUUUAAAGGGAGCGUAGGUGGAUUGUUAAGUCAGUUGUGAAAGUUUGCGGCUCAACCGUAAAAUUGCAGUUGAAACUGGCAGUCUUGAGUACAGUAGAGGUGGGCGGAAUUCGUGGUGUAGCGGUGAAAUGCUUAGAUAUCACGAAGAACUCCGAUUGCGAAGGCAGUUCACUGGACUGCAACUGACACUGAGGCUCGAAAGUGUGGGUAUCAAACAGGAUUAGAUACCCCUGUAGUC